CCGCCGUGUCCAAAAUCAUGCAAACGCCGCGUAUAGCGGGAUUUUCUUAAUCUCCCUCCAGGUCGAAACCCGCGGAGUAUGGAGGGAAAUUGGGGAAAACGCGUGGAGUGUACUUUAUGAGCAUUCCCUUUGCUAGGCUCCAUGUUUGUUGAUAAGUUGCACAAACAUUGUCGUAAAGAUAAACAAACAAAAAAUUCCAUCUGCUUUCGUUAGCUUUAAAAAGUUGGAAGUCCUGACUUCCAAGCCUAAAAUUUUGGACGUCCCAGACAUAAAUUUUGAAGUCUCACUUUUAUUUCAGAAUUGUAAUAUACGUUCAUGUUCCAACUCUAUCAAUUACCCGAUAAUACAGUAUUAUUACGAUUUCUAUUUUCAAAACCCAAAAAAGGCUAAUAUUGAAGUCCGCAAACAUCUGCCGUUUUACGCAAGUGCAUAUACAAAUUGAAUUGUGGGAUGGGGGAAUUCCCAUUAAACACACGCGUUAAUCACGUGACGCGAUUUUAGAGCACUGUUCAUAUUUAGUAAUUACGACAAAUCAACGACUGAAUUUAAAAUGUUACAUGUACCUCCUUUCAGAAAAGUUUGGGUAAAUGAAAGCGAAUUUCGGAACAUACGAACGCGUCAUUUUAAAAAUUUUACCGUGUACACUUCAUUCCGACCGCAAUAUAACUUGUCAGGUCAUUCAUGCAUGUAGACCAAUAUGUAUGCAUAGUUUGGCAAUCUCAAAACACGUUGUUUUACUACUUAUUGCAUUAUGUGUUAUGGCCAUAGAUAUAACAAAAUACAUUAUUCAAUUUUAGUUUUUUCAAAUGCACAUAAUUAAACAUGUUAUCCGAAAUCAUUUCCAGAUUUUAUUAUUGAUGGAAAGUUAAGAAAAUUUGAGCAACAAAUAAACAUUUCUCGUGUGUGUCGGGUACAGAUAAAAAUCAUGCGAUAAUUAGACUUCAUGUACAACAUCACAUCAUUCUUCCUCGUGGAAAGCGUGGACUUAAAUAUUUGAUUUCUAAAUAAAAACUUCAUAGCGCAGAGGUCGCUAAUAUUAUUGUACACAGCUACACGUGGCGUCGGCGUGUAUUCGGUUGCCUGAGCGCUGAGCCAGAUGCGCUUAUCAAGCAGAAUUUGAUUGACAGCUGGAAAAUCAAUAUUGGCCACUCGCUGAGAAAUUCAUUGAAAACAGUAGCUCUUAGGCGAACUGAAUGACCAAUUUACUGUUGAGUGUUGACAUUUAAACGUGUUGUGUAUUUGACAAUAGUGUACAUGCCUAAUUAACCUAAAUAAACAUUAAACAAAUAUCGAAAUUUUUUCAAUUCAAUGUCGCACAUAUUAUUCAACCGAUGGCCGCUAUUUUUGUUUAUAAUCUCACUGUGUAACAUAGUGGGUGGGGUAAACAUGAUGAAAAACGCCGGAAUAAGGAGAAAAACAUUUGAAUAUAGGGGUUUAUUGUAUGAACCUUCAUUUGUAAGGAGGAUUUACUGAAUGGUGAAGAUGUUGCAAAGUGCCCAAGUUGUUCCCUUUUAAUCAAAGUAAUUUACAAUAUUGAUGAUUUUUUGGAAGGUGAAGAAAUUUCAGCGCCUGCUAAACCAGUCCUAGAAAAGGC
Dreissena polymorpha is the source of this 1594-nucleotide long non-coding RNA. RefSeq lists it as uncharacterized. The record is from RefSeq and is a predicted model, not a curated record. The transcript has 3 exons. Lineage: Eukaryota; Metazoa; Mollusca; Bivalvia; Myida; Dreissenidae.